UACAGAGGGGGCAAGCGUUGUUCGGAAUUACUGGGCGUAAAGGGCGCGUAGGCGGCCUUCUAAGUCGAACGUGAAAUCCCCGGGCUCAACCCGGGAACUGCGUCCGAUACUGGAAGGCUUGAAUCCGGGAGAGGGAUGCGGAAUUCCAGGUGUAGCGGUGAAAUGCGUAGAUAUCGAGAGGAACACCUGCGGCGAAGGCGGGUUGCUGGGCCGACACUGACGCUGAUGCGCGAAAGCCAGGGGAGCGAACGGG
Molecule: ribosomal RNA, 253 nt
Filed under: uncultured bacterium
Lineage: Bacteria
Description: partial 16S ribosomal RNA
Rfam family: Bacterial small subunit ribosomal RNA
Source: RNAcentral